CGGCUAAGGAAGAGGGAGUCGCCGUUUAAAAAUUGCGGCCCCAACGCCAAAUCAAACCAAACCCAAGGUCGACGAUUCGAAACCGCUAACGGCCGUUUCUGCACGUGUUUCAACUCCAACCCACGCUUUGGACAAGUACACUCCUUGCGUGCGUGCGUGGCUCUUCAUUUAUUUCUUCUCUGUCAUUUUUUUCAUUCUCUCUUUCUAUUUUCCUUUCUCUUUUUCAUUUUUGUUUUUGUUGGGAAGUAAACUAACCUCAAUAUAAAUCCGAAGGAUCAACCCGAAGUUAACGACAAUAGUCAAGAAAUCAGUCGAAACGUGCAAAUACAAGAGAGCAGUGCCGUAACUAUAGAUCCUCCUACAUCUAUAUAUAAUAAAGUUGAUGGAGGUGUUUGCUGCGGCUAAUGCGAGUGGUGACCAAGAUGGAGUGACUCGCUGUCGAGGAAGGGCUGGUUAGGCACCUCCGGAAGGUGGCCUGCUAAAAUGUAAUAUGGAUUCUACCUGUUUCAAGUAAGAGGGGGCUACAGGGUAUGCGAUCGUAGUUUGGGACUCUUCGAGCUCUGUGCUUAAAAGUUUUUCUGGUUUUAUUUAUGUUUGUUUUAAUGAGGCAUUGUCAUGGCUAAAAUCUUUGGCUUUCGAUAAUGUAAUAGUUGAGUUGGAUUGUUUGCUUGUAAUUUCGGCUUUGUCACGUCCAUCAUCUGAUUUUUCUAAACUAGAUAUGUUGUUUCGUGAUUGUUUACUAAUGAAGAAUCAAUUUCAGCA
Molecule: long non-coding RNA, 762 nt
Organism: Gossypium raimondii (Peruvian cotton)
Lineage: Eukaryota; Viridiplantae; Streptophyta; Magnoliopsida; Malvales; Malvaceae
Exons: 2
Source: RefSeq, a predicted model, not a curated record